Molecule: long non-coding RNA, 3758 nt
Organism: Sapajus apella (tufted capuchin)
Lineage: Eukaryota; Metazoa; Chordata; Mammalia; Primates; Cebidae
Exons: 2
Source: RefSeq, a predicted model, not a curated record
GCAACACACACACACACACACACACACACACAAAUUUAUGGCAAGCACUUGAUAUCUAUUUUAUGUGUUACAUACACAAUCAUAUGAGGUAUGCAAUAUAAUUCCUGUUUUACAGUUGAGGAAACUGAGGGACAGAUGUUAAGUAUGCUAAUGGCACUACAUGGGGGGUUAGAGGGUGGUCUAGUCACUCAGCUCUCCAGGCCAGUCACUGUUUUCCUUUAUAAAUGAAGAUAUUAACUUCUGGAACAAUCUCUAAGCUGAUUUUUAAUAUCUAUGAUUUCUCAACAACCUGGAAACAUUGCUAAUGGUUUAAUGGAUACACAGAAGGUCAUUAUCAUCUAAUAUUCAUUACCCAAGCCCCCAAAUUUACAAGGAUUUUUAGGGCAUCAGAACUUAAAAAUAUUCACUGAUAAAUGGUUGUGUAUAAAAUUAGUCCACCCUCUUUGCUGAAUGCUAGUUUCUAUCUCUGCCCAUCACACUAAGAGUUCUGUUACUGGUGAGCUGUGACAAGGCAAACACAAAGUGAAAAUGCAAAGUAAACUGACUUCAUUAAAAUGGCAUUGCAAAACUUGUAGAUGCAGGGUUUCACAUGGUGCGUGCUGUGAUUUGAAUGUGUCCCCCAAUGUUCAUGUGUUGGAAACUUAAUCCCCAUUGCAGCAGUGUUAAGAGGUGGGAACUUUAAGAAGCAAUUUGGUCUUGAGGGCUCUGCCUCACGCGUGGAUUAAUGCUAUUAUUGUGGGAGUGGGUUAGUUAUUGGAAGAAUGGGUUCCUGAUAAAAGGAUGAUUUUGCCCCUGUCUCCCUCUCUCUUGCUCUUCUGCCUUCUGCCAUGGGAUGAUGCAGCAAGAUGGCCCUUACCAGAUGAUGGCAACUUAAUGUUUGACUUCCCAGCCUCCAGAACUGCCCUGGAAUUUGAACCACCAUCUUCUGGACUGACUCAAAUGCAGAGGAAGCCAGGCCUGCCACUAACAUUUGUAAGAGCAGCAAGAGUAUAAAUGGAGAUCCACAUAUGUAUAAAUAAUUAGAGUGUGAAUCAAGCUAACAAACUGUUUAAUAAAAUACGAUCUACUCUCUAGCUUGACAAAUCAACUUUUCAAACACCUGGAAGAACAAGUUUGCACUCAGGAUUCUCAGACUCCUCCAAGUUCUGCACUGGGAUGUGGAAGAGCUGUGCAAGCCAGCCCUUGGGUCCCUGAUCCCCGCCUCCUGGCCUGUGCCUGUCUAUUCUCAGCCUGGCUCCAGCUCCCAUUGAGAGGAAGUUCUUGUACACACAUGAUACUAUAGGCCUCUGUCUAAUAUUUAUCUAUACCUUCUGCUAACAGCCACUGUGUGACCACCCUUGGGCUUAGGGGUCCGCAACCGACAACAGAGAAUGGGAACCAAGGCAGAGGCUCACAGACUCUAGAAAUGGGCAUAGGUCCAUGUGGGCAGAGACCUGUGGAAUCCUGGGUAAGCAAGGUGUCUUAGUUUGCUUGUGCUGCUUAAACAAAACACUAUAGACUAGGUAAUUUAUAAAUAUUAGAAAUAUAUUUCUCAGAAUUCUGAAGGUUGGGAAGUCCAAGGUCAAGGUAUUGGCAAGUUUGGUGGGAGCUGCUUUCUCUGCUUCCAAGAUGGUACUUUUUUGCUGUGUCCUCUUGAGGGGAAGAAAGCAGAAGGGCAAAGGGGCCAAUUAUCUCUCUGAGGCCUCUUUUGUAAAGCUGUUAAUCCAUUCCUGAGGGCUCUGCCCUCAUGACUUAAUCACUUUCCCAAAGUCACAUCUCUUAAUACUACCACAAUGAGGAUGAAGUUUCAACAUGAAUUUUCAAGGGGUCACAUUCAAGCCAUGGCGCAGGGCAUGGCCUAGUAGAGGAAAUGCAAGCUCUGGGUAUGCAAGUCCCCUUUGCCCCAUAAACUUCUUGCUUCAUGGGAAGGGAUGUGGCUGGAGGGUACCCCUCUACAGCACAGGUCCCAGAGCACCCUUCUUGCCUUGAGUUUAGGGAUAGUAUAGGUGGUGGUAGUGAGGCUACUUUUGCUCAUUAAGAAAAGCCUCUAUGAUGGGGUGGGGCUGAGAAUGACAUUUGAAUGGAAACUUGAAUGAUAAAGAUGAGUUAUCCAUGCCAAGACCUGGGAGAAGGGCAUUCCUAACUGAGAGAAGAGGAAAUGCCCAGAUCUCAUAAGCUCUGUAGAGAAGAAACACCAACAGGAGUGGGUGGAGCCUAAUUAAGAGAAGAAUGGUAAGAGAUGAGGUGAAAUGGUCAGGCAGGAGCAGGGACCCUGAAGGUCAGGUAAGGGGGUUUUGACUUUACCAUGUGUGCAAUGGGAAGCUUCUGAAGAAUUGAUAUGAGUUCUGUUACAGCACAAUCACUCUGGGUGCUGUGUGAAAUGGAUGAAUAGCAAGGAGCUGCUGGCAAGGGCAAAUCAACAGAAGCACCACUCAAAAUGCCUCAGUACCCACUACAUAAGGAUUCUUGUGAUUAAUUCUUCCCCAAAUUUUAGAGCCAAGGAAAAUCCAGCUCUCCUACUAAGAGUUGUAGAUUAGAGCUUCUGUUUCUAAUCCAUAAACAAAUUCUAAACAGGUCUUUUCAUGACAAUUCCAACUUUGUCAUAAAGUCAUCUACUGAGAAACCAGUAGGCAGGUUUCUCCUCUUGUCUAGACCACCUGAAAGCACAUAGCUGAGUUUGCACUUCUUUGCAGAGGAAACUGCUCAUUUAUCAAUCUGGCCUCCAAUCACAACUUUAUAGCUAACUACCUGUAUGUUUUCAUAAACUUCUCUCACACAGUAUAAAUUUUAAAUAAAUCACAAUAGCUAUUACACAUAUAAGUAGUAAUAACUCAAGAGACUGGUAUCUGACUAGCGGUUAUUUCACCAGUGUAUACACUGGAAGUUUUGUUUUUUGAUGUAUGUACAUUAUAACUGCAGGGCAGGUCGUAAGAAGAUUUUAAAUUCACAUUAGCUUUGCUACCACUAAACUAUGGGGACUGAGUGUUUCUAAUUUACAAACAAAGAUAUGCAAUGUCUUUUUAUGAUCAUCCUGACUUUAUAAUAGGAUUGCUAUAAAAUAUUUUAAGACAUACGAAAAGGCAUAAAGUAUAAUACAAUGAGUACCCAUAUAUCUAACUCCCAGUUUAAGAAAUAAAACAUUAGCAAAUACAGCUGAAGUUCCAUGAAUUCCCCUCCCAAAUCAUAAUCCCUUCCCACCUGCAGAGGGAACCUCUAUUCUAAGCCUGGUGUUUAUCACCACCAAGAAUUUAAAAAAUACUUUUACUAUACAUACACAAGUAUGUAUCCCUUAGAAAUGAGCAGUAGUACUGUUUUGUAGUAUAAGUAGUAGUACUUAUACCAUUUACACUUUAAGUAAAUGGUGUAAGUUUUUUCUUGGUUUUGCGAAAAAUUGUUGAUGUUUAUGUCCUUUGAUUCUAUAGCUGAUUGACUUUCACUGUGAGUCAUUCCAUCAUUAUUUCUGUAUUCAUUCUCCUGCUGAAGUAUAUUUCAGGUUGUUUCUAUUCCUCUCCUGAUCCCCCUCUCCCAACACACAUGCUUUUAUUAAUAAAUCUGCUGGAACUUUGUUGCAUACAUCUCCUUGGAUGUGUUAUAUCAUAAAAUAUACAGAGAGAAAAUUGAGCUUUUUCAGACACAGGUUCUACAUUAAAUCAUUUUCAGAUUGACUUACCAUUGCUCAUAUUCAAUCCUUUAGAAUGGGUUCAAGAUGGAUAUUUUAUAGUAAUGAAGCAUAAUCCAGAGAGGGACAGAGUGAUUUUUAAGAUCAGAACUAUAAAAUU